Molecule: non-coding RNA, 26 nt
Filed under: Mus musculus (house mouse)
Lineage: Eukaryota; Metazoa; Chordata; Mammalia; Rodentia; Muridae
Source: RNAcentral
UGCUUUGAGCGUUGGGAUUAAAGGCA